CUUGCGAUAGCUCAGUUGGUAGGGCGAAGGACUGUAGUUCCAGUUAGGUCAUUGGUUCAAACUCAGCUCGCAAGA
Molecule: non-coding RNA, 75 nt
Organism: Paramuricea clavata
Lineage: Eukaryota; Metazoa; Cnidaria; Anthozoa; Malacalcyonacea; Plexauridae
Source: the annotation of a GenBank genome assembly